Molecule: ribosomal RNA, 338 nt
Filed under: Crotalaria cornu-ammonis
Lineage: Eukaryota; Viridiplantae; Streptophyta; Magnoliopsida; Fabales; Fabaceae
Description: 5.8S ribosomal RNA
Rfam family: 5.8S ribosomal RNA (bases 48-203)
Source: RNAcentral
ACGGAGACGGUGAUCGUGCGGGGGUGAUGCGACGCGCGUAUCCGAAAGACUCUCGGCAACGGAUAUCUCGGCUCUUGCAUCGAUGAAGAACGUAGCGAAAUGCGAUACUUGGUGUGAAUUGCAGAAUCCCGUGAACCAUCGAGUCUUUGAACGCAAGUUGCGCCCGAAGCCAUUAGGCUGAGGGCACGCCUGCCUGGGUGUCGCCCAUCGUUGCCCCAGUGCCUUGGCCUCGUGCUAGGCACCGAGCUGGGCGAAUGCUGGCUUCCCGCGAGCAAUGCCUCACGGUUGGUUGAAAAGUGAGUCCGUGGUGGAGGGCGCCGUGACGGAUGGUGGUUGAG